This 414-nucleotide ribosomal RNA is filed under the name uncultured bacterium. RNAcentral describes it as "bacterial SSU rRNA". It matches the Rfam family "Bacterial small subunit ribosomal RNA", at positions 355 to 786 of the family's 1533-position model. The record is from RNAcentral.
UGGGGAAUAUUGGACAAUGGGCGCAAGCCUGAUCCAGCAAUGCCGCGCGAGUGAAGAAGGCCCUAGGGUUGUAAAGCUCUUUCGCCCGCGACGAUGAUGACGGUAGCGGGAGAAGAAGCCCCGGCUAACUCCGUGCCAGCAGCCGCGGUAAUACGGAGGGGGCUAGCGUUGUUCGGAAUUACUGGGCGUAAAGGGCGCGUAGGCGGCCCGCCAAGUCCGGCGUGAAAGUCCUGGGCUCAACCCGGGGACGGCGCUGGAGACUGGCGGGCUGGAGUCCGGGAGAGGGUGGCGGAAUUCCCAGUGUAGAGGUGAAAUUCGUAGAUAUUGGGAAGAACACCGGUGGCGAAGGCGGCCACCUGGCCCGGGACUGACGCUGAGGCGCGAAAGCGUGGGGAGCAAACAGGAUUAGAUACC